This 254-nucleotide ribosomal RNA is filed under the name uncultured bacterium. Its description in RNAcentral is "partial 16S ribosomal RNA". It matches the Rfam family "Bacterial small subunit ribosomal RNA", at positions 524 to 776 of the family's 1533-position model. The record is from RNAcentral.
UACGAAGGGGGCUAGCGUUACUCGGAAUUACUGGGCGUAAAGGGCGCGUAGGCGGCGUUCCAAGUUAGGCGUGAAAGUCCUGGGCUCAACCUGGGAACUGCGCUUAAGACUGGAAUGCUAGAGGAUGGAAGAGGGUUGUGGAAUUCCCAGUGUAGAGGUGAAAUUCGUAGAUAUUGGGAAGAACACCGGUGGCGAAGGCGGCAACCUGGUCCAUUUCUGACGCUGAGGCGCGAUAGCGGUGGGGAGCAAACAGG